Molecule: ribosomal RNA, 254 nt
Filed under: uncultured bacterium
Lineage: Bacteria
Description: partial 16S ribosomal RNA
Rfam family: Bacterial small subunit ribosomal RNA
Source: RNAcentral
UACGGGGGGAGCAAGCGUUGUUCGGAUUUACUGGGCGUAAAGGGCGCGUAGGCGGUCAGCACAAGUCAGUUGUGAAAUCUCCGAGCUUAACUCGGAAAGGUCAACUGAUACUGUGCGACUAGAGUGCAGAAGGGGCAACUGGAAUUCUUGGUGUAGCGGUGAAAUGCGUAGAUAUCAAGAGGAACACCUGCGGCGAAGGCGGGUUGCUGGGCUGACACUGACGCUGAGGAGCGAAAGCGUGGGGAGCAAACAGG